UUCAACAUUGUUUAAACUGCUCAGCUGGGGAGUGAGAGAGGUAGAUGGAAAUUGCUAGUGUAGGAGUGAAAUCCGUAGAUAUUAGCAGGAACACCGAUGGGCGUAGGCAGUCUACUGGCUCAUUUCUGACACUAAGGGCACGAAAGCGUGGGGAGCAAACGGGAUUAGAUACCCCGGUAGUCCACGCUGUAAACUAUGGACGCUAGCUGUAAGAAGUAUCGACCCUUCUUGUAGCGAAGCUAACGCGUUAAGCGUCCCACCUGUGGAGUACGGUCGCAAGACUAAAACAUAAAGGAAUUGACGGGGACCCGCACAAGCGGUGGAGCGUGUUGUUUAAUUCGAUGGUAAGCGAAGAACCUUACCCAGGCUUGACAUCCUACUAAUUUCUCCGAAAGGAGAGAGUGCCUUCGGGCCGUAGAGACAGGUGUUGCAUGGCCGUCGUCAGCUCGUGUCGUGAGAUGUUAGGUUAAGUCCUUCAACGAGCGCAACCCUUUUGUUUAGUUGUAUUUUUCUAAACAGACUGCCCUGGCAACAGGGAGGAAGGAGGGGAUGAUGUCAGGUCAGUAUUACCCUUACGUCUGGGGCUACAAACACGCUACAAUGGCCGGUACAAAGGGCUGCCAACCCGCGAGGGGGAGCAAAUCCCAUCAAAGCCGGUCUCAGUUCGGAUAGGAGGCUGAAACUCGCCUCCUUGAAGCUGGAAUCGCUAGUAAUGGUAGGUCAGCACACUACCGUGAAUACGUUCCCGGGUCUUGUACACACCGCCCGUCAAACCAUGAAAGUCACCAAUACCUGACGUGCAGCUUUUCGCGGUCCUAAGGUAGGGGGGAUAAUUGGGG
RNAcentral lists this ribosomal RNA (839 nucleotides) under uncultured bacterium. RNAcentral's name for it is "bacterial SSU rRNA". It matches the Rfam family "Bacterial small subunit ribosomal RNA", at positions 617 to 1480 of the family's 1533-position model. The record is from RNAcentral.